Molecule: ribosomal RNA, 903 nt
Filed under: uncultured Mycobacteriales bacterium
Lineage: Bacteria; Bacillati; Actinomycetota; Actinomycetes; Mycobacteriales
Description: bacterial SSU rRNA
Rfam family: Bacterial small subunit ribosomal RNA
Source: RNAcentral
AGAGUUUGAUCCUGGCUCAGGAUGAACGCUGGCGGCGUGCUUAACACAUGCAAGUCGAACGGAAAGGCCUCUAGCUUGCUAGAGGUACUCGAGUGGCGAACGGGUGAGUAACACGUGGGUGAUCUGCCCUGCACUGUGGGAUAAGCCUGGGAAACUGGGUCUAAUACCAUAUAGGACCGCAUCUUGGAUGGUGUGGUGGAAAGCUUUUGCGGUGUGGGAUGAGCCUGCGGCCUAUCAGCUUGUUGGUGGGGUAAUGGCCUACCAAGGCGGCGACGGGUAUCCGGCCUGAGAGGGUGUACGGACACAUUGGGACUGAGAUACGGCCCAGACUCCUACGGGAGGCAGCAGUGGGGAAUAUUGCACAAUGGGCGCAAGCCUGAUGCAGCGACGCCGCGUGGGGGAUGAAGGCCUUCGGGUUGUAAACUCCUUUCGCUAUCGACGAAGCCACUUGUGGUGACGGUAGGUAGAUAAGAAGCACCGGCUAACUACGUGCCAGCAGCCGCGGUAAUACGUAGGGUGCAAGCGUUGUCCGGAAUUACUGGGCGUAAAGAGCUCGUAGGUGGUUUGUCGCGUCGUCUGUGAAAUCCCGGGGCUUAACUUCGGGCGUGCAGGCGAUACGGGCAUAACUUGAGUGCUGUAGGGGAGACUGGAAUUCCUGGUGUAGCGGUGAAAUGCGCAGAUAUCAGGAGGAACACCGAUGGCGAAGGCAGGUCUCUGGGCAGUUACUGACGCUGAGGAGCGAAAGCAUGGGUAGCGAACAGGAUUAGAUACCCUGGUAGUCCAUGCCGUAAACGGUGGGCGCUAGGUGUAGGGGGCUUCCACGUCUUCUGUGCCGUAGCUAACGCAUUAAGCGCCCCGCCUGGGGAGUACGGCCGCGAGGCUAAAACUUAAAGGAAUUGACGG